GUGACUGUCGUAAAUACAAUCGAUUCAAAAGUAAUUGCCAAUUCCAACGAGGAUGUGAUUAUCAACAAGCGCAAAAUGCGCAAAAUCUUUGU
RNAcentral lists this small RNA (92 nucleotides) under Corethron pennatum. RNAcentral's name for it is "partial transfer-messenger RNA". Lineage: Eukaryota; Bacillariophyta; Corethrophyceae; Corethrales; Corethraceae. The record is from RNAcentral.